UACGUAGGGUGCUAGCGUUGUUCGGAAUCAUUGGGCGUAAAGCGCGUGUAGGUGGUUCGCUAAGUCGGAUGUGAAAGCCCUGGGCUUAACCCAGGAAGUGCACCCGAAACUGGCAAACUAGAAGGUGGUAGAGGAAGGUGGAGUUCCUAGUGUAGAGGUGAAAUUCGUAGAUAUUAGGAGGAAUACCGGCGGCGAAGGCGGCCUUCUGGACCAUUCUUGACACUGAGACGCGAAAGCGUGGGGAUCAAACAGG
RNAcentral lists this ribosomal RNA (253 nucleotides) under uncultured bacterium. RNAcentral's name for it is "partial 16S ribosomal RNA". It matches the Rfam family "Bacterial small subunit ribosomal RNA", at positions 524 to 776 of the family's 1533-position model. The record is from RNAcentral.